ACGGAGCACCUAAAGCAAGAGUGUCAAACUCAAUUCCACAAAGGGCCACGCUGGAAAACAAGAACCACAUCCAGGGCCAGACACGUUGAGGUUUUUCACUUGCUAUUAUUUCAUUGUAAAGGUCAAGCAUCUUUUAUUAUACUAUUGUAUGUAUCAUGUCAUCUUCUCACUAACAGCUUGGUCAACAUAAAGACCAAAAAAAAG
This is a long non-coding RNA of Etheostoma cragini (Arkansas darter), 204 nucleotides long. RefSeq lists it as uncharacterized. Lineage: Eukaryota; Metazoa; Chordata; Actinopteri; Perciformes; Percidae. The record is from RefSeq and is a predicted model, not a curated record. The transcript is spliced from 3 exons.